RNAcentral lists this ribosomal RNA (1891 nucleotides) under human gut metagenome. Its description in RNAcentral is "bacterial LSU rRNA". It matches the Rfam family "Bacterial large subunit ribosomal RNA", at positions 3 to 1977 of the family's 2925-position model. The record is from RNAcentral.
UCAAGCUAAUAAGAGCGCAAGGGGAAUGCCUUGGCAUCAGGAGCCGACGAAGGACGUGACAAGCUGCGAUAAGCUACGGUGAGGAGCAAAUAUCCUGUGACCCGUAGAUUUCCGAAUGGGGCAACCCGGCUGGACAAUAUCCAGUCAUCCUGCAUUGAAUCAAAUAGGUGUAGGAAGGGAACCGCCUGAACUGAAACAUCUAAGUAGGGCGAGGAAAAGACAUCAACCGAGAUUCCGCAAGUAGUGGCGAGCGAACGCGGAAGAGGCCAAACCGGAGGAUUUAUUCUCCGGGGUUGCGGACAGCUAUACGGAACAAUAGUUUAGCCGAACGGUCUGGGAAGGCCGGUCACAGAGGGUGAGAACCCCGUAGGCGAAAGACGAAUUGUUUCAGGCUGGAUCCAGAGUACCGCAGGACACGUGAAACCCUGUGGGAAACAGGGGGGACCACCCUCCAAGCCUAAAUACUACCUGAUGACCGAUAGAGGAGCAGUACCGUGAGGGAAAGGUGAAAAGGACCCCGGGAGGGGAGUGAAAGAGAACCUGAAACCUUGUGCUUACAAGCAGUCAGAGCACGUUAACGUGUGAUGGCGUACUUUUUGUAGAACGGUCCGGCGAGUUAUAGUAACGAGCAAGCUUAAGGUAUUCAGUACCGGAGGCGAAGCGAAAGCGAGUCUGAAUAGGGCGUAUGAAGUUCGUUGCCAUAGACCCGAAACCGGGUGACCUACCCAUGAGCAGGUUGAAGUGGGGGUGAAACCCCAUGGAGGACCGAACCGACCCCCGUUGCAAUGGUGGCGGAUGACUUGUGGGUAGCGGUGAAAUUCCAAUCGAACUCGGAGAUAGCUGGUUCUCCCCGAAAUAGCUUUAGGGCUAGCGUUAUGUUAGAUUACCGGAGGUAAAGCACUGAAUGGUAGCGGGGCCGAUAAGGUUACCAACGCCUAUCAAACUAAGAAUGCCGGCUAAUUGAUGCAUAGCAGUCAGACAGUGUGAGAUAAGUUUCAUUGUCAAAAGGGAAACAGCCCAGACCUACAGCUAAGGUCCCAAAUGUAUGCUAAGUGGAAAACGAUGUGGAAUUGCGAAAACAACCAGGAUGUUGGCUUAGAAGCAGCCACUCAUUAAAAGAGUGCGUAAUAGCUCACUGGUCGAGUGACUCUGCGCGGAAAAUGUAACGGGGCUAAGCAUCUAACCGAAGCUUAGGAUUGUCGUAAGACAGUGGUAGGGGAGCGUUCCAUGUGGGGUGAAGUCGUAGCGGAAGCAGCGGUGGACUGCAUGGAAGUGAGAAUGCCGGAAUGAGUAGCGAGAAUUAUGUGGGAAUCAUAAUGGCCGAAAAUCUAAGGUUUCUUGGGGAAGGUUCGUCCGCCCAAGGUAAGCCGGGAGCUAAGGCGAGGCCGAAAGGCGUAGUCGAUGCACAUACGGUAGAAAUUCCGUAGCCACCGAACUUUAAGUCAGAGGGACACUUUUGGAUAGCGGAACCCGGGCGUUGGUUGACCCGGGCGAAAGGGAGCGAAAAUAUAGUAGCGAAGUCCGCGAUGCUGAGAGGCGAGAAAAGCUCUGAUGGAUACUAAGGUGCCCGUACCGCAAACCGACACAGGUAGAUGAGGAGAGAAUCCUAAGGCCAACGGGAGAAGGGUUGUUAAGGAACUCGGCAAGUUGACCCCGUAACUUCGGAAUAAGGGGAGCCUCGAAAGAGGCCGCAGUGAAUAGGCCCAAGCAACUGUUUACCAAAAACACAGGUUUAUGCUAAAUCGAAAGAUGACGUAUAUGAGCUGACGCCUGCCCGGUGCCGGAAGGUUAAGAGGAGAUGUCAACCGCGAGGUGAAGCAUUGAAUUGAAGCCCCGGUAAACGGCGGCCGUAACUAUAACGGUCCUAAGGUAGCGAAAUUCCUUGUCAGGU